UCCCGGUUGGUCUAGUAGUUAUGACUCAGCACUUUCACCGCUGUGGCCCAGGUUCAAUCCCUGAUCUGGAA
Molecule: transfer RNA, 71 nt
Filed under: Sus scrofa (pig)
Lineage: Eukaryota; Metazoa; Chordata; Mammalia; Artiodactyla; Suidae
Rfam family: tRNA
About the family: Transfer RNA (tRNA) molecules are approximately 80 nucleotides in length. Their secondary structure includes four short double-helical elements and three loops (D, anti-codon, and T loops). Further hydrogen bonds mediate the characteristic L-shaped molecular structure. tRNAs have two regions of fundamental functional importance: the anti-codon, which is responsible for specific mRNA codon recognition, and the 3' end, to which the tRNAs corresponding amino acid is attached (by aminoacyl-tRNA synthetases). tRNAs cope with the degeneracy of the genetic code in two manners: having more than one tRNA (with a specific anti-codon) for a particular amino acid; and 'wobble' base-pairing, i.e. permitting non-standard base-pairing at the 3rd anti-codon position.
Source: Rfam by way of RNAcentral